Molecule: ribosomal RNA, 439 nt
Filed under: uncultured bacterium
Lineage: Bacteria
Description: partial 16S ribosomal RNA
Rfam family: Bacterial small subunit ribosomal RNA
Source: RNAcentral
CUACGGGAUGCACCAGUGGGGAAUACCGCACAAUGGGCGCAAGCCUGAUGCAGCGACGCCGCGUGAAGGAUGAAGUAUUUCGGUAUGUAAACUUCUAUCAGCAGGGAAGAAAAUGACGGUACCUGACUAAGAAGCCCCGGCUAACUACGUGCCAGCAGCCGCGGUAAUACGUAGGGGGCAAGCGUUAUCCGGAUUUACUGGGUGUAAAGGGAGCGUAGAUGGCGUGGCAAGUCUGAAGUGAAAGCCCGGGGCUCAACCCCGGGACUGCUUUGGAAACUGUCAUGCUAGAGUGCAGGAGGGGCAGGCGGAAUUCCUAGUGUAGCGGUGAAAUGCGUAGAUAUUAGGAGGAACACCAGUGGCGAAGGCGGCCUGCUGGACUGUAACUGACAUUGAGGCUCGAAAGCGUGGGGAGCAAACAGGAUUAGAUACCCGGGUAGUC